CUGGGCCCAACACCAAUGGAUCACAGUUCUUCAUCUGCACAGCGGAAACUGACUGGCUCAACGGGAAGCACGUGGUGUUUGGUUUUGUUGUGGAUGGCGUGGAUGUUGUCAAGGCGAUAGAGAAGCACGGGACACGCAACGGCACUCCUAAAGCCAAGGUUGUCAUCACCGACUGUGGUGAACUACCAUAGUGCGUCUCCUUCGCUUCGGCCUGCUCUCCUUUAUCAUCCCAGUUAAACUCUAAGCUUCAGCGUAUCAACAGUAACGCUAGAAAAACACCCAGCGAACCCACUUUCUCCUCUUUAAAACAUGUUUGUUUACUGUCUUGACAUUUGAUCUGUAAUAUUUUGUACCUUCUAAUCUGUCCUUUAAGGGCCACAUUUGUUAACAAAAUCAGAAUAAAAUGACGAUGGUGUAAACAAAA
This is a long non-coding RNA of Stegastes partitus (bicolor damselfish), 424 nucleotides long. RefSeq lists it as uncharacterized. The record is from RefSeq and is a predicted model, not a curated record. The transcript is spliced from 2 exons. NCBI's taxonomy places the organism in Eukaryota, Metazoa, Chordata, Actinopteri, Pomacentridae.